AUCCACCCAAGAUCCAGAUCCAGAUCCCUCCACCCCCGGCCUCCCUUCCAUCCCCUCUUUCUCUCCCCCGCGACUCCUCUCGCCGCCGCCGUCUCCGGCUCCGGCCGCGAUUCCGGCGAGUUCCGGCGGCACGCAGCACACCGCCGAGACCCCCUCGCUCCGGCGCUUCCUCCCAUCCGGCAGAUUCGCUAGCUCGAUCGCAACCCCAGCCCCGUGGCUAGGGUUGGGUUGCGGGCGGGGCCUACUUCCUCGCCGGCCGGCUCGAGUUGGCCAUAUCCACGGCGCCGUCCUCCUCCACGACCUCAAGCCCUCAGGAUACGUAGGCGCUCGCAGCCAUGGAAUGGAUGGAUCCAUGGGACUAGUCCGACGCCAUGGAAGGGCAUGAAGGGCCACCAACAGCAGCUCCCUCCGGUCUUCUCCCACCAUGGAAGGCAUCCAUGGAAGCCGCCGCCGCUGCUCCGACCCCGCUGCCAACGCCCCAUGGAGACUCUGCUCUGUCUCGUGUCCUGCGUGUCCUGGCCAUCAAACCAAUUACCCUGAGCUACCGAAACGCCAGAACUGCUCUCUUUGAUGGCAUUAAAGAAGGUGGAAUACGAGUACCAGCUUAUUCUUCACAUGAGAAUGAGUGAGCUAUGGAUGGAUUCCAAGAUCGAGUCAACAUUCUCAAGAGGGGGUGAUCGACGCUACCUAGCGCAGCCCGGUGGGCGCUGUGCUCUUCAACCCGGUGAAGCUCGGCGGCCACGUCGCACAGACGAUCGUCCAGUUGAUCGUGACGCCGAAGGUCGCCGAGGUGGAGGACCUCGACGCCACCGUCCGGGGGAGGGAGGAUUCGGGUCCACCGGCGCCUGAACUCCGAGCCUUGGUAGAUACAUCUAGAGAAGUGGUUUGUUUAGGUUGGUGGUGAACACUAGGGAAGGCACCCACGUUUCGAUGAUGGUUGUGUGUCUUGAGAAUGUUCUGUGACGUUGGUUUGGUUUCCACUGGACGUAUUGCCAUCCAUGAAUACUACAUCUAAUUU
Long non-coding RNA from Triticum urartu, 1018 nucleotides. RefSeq lists it as uncharacterized. NCBI's taxonomy places the organism in Eukaryota, Viridiplantae, Streptophyta, Magnoliopsida, Poales, Poaceae. The record is from RefSeq and is a predicted model, not a curated record.